This 550-nucleotide ribosomal RNA is filed under the name uncultured bacterium. Its description in RNAcentral is "bacterial SSU rRNA". It matches the Rfam family "Bacterial small subunit ribosomal RNA", at positions 356 to 896 of the family's 1533-position model. The record is from RNAcentral.
GGGGAAUCUUCCGCAAUGGGCGAAAGCCUGACGGAGCAACGCCGCGUGAGUGAAGACGGCCUUCGGGUUGUAAAGCUCUGUUAUACGGGACGAAUAAUCUUGUGGUUAAUACCCAUAAGAAAUGACGGUACCGUAAGAGAAAGCCACGGCUAACUACGUGCCAGCAGCCGCGGUAAUACGUAGGUGGCAAGCGUUGUCCGGAAUUAUUGGGCAUAAAGGGCGCGCAGGCGGCUUCUUAAGUCUGUCUUAAAAGUGCGGGGCUUAACCCCGUGAUGGGAUGGAAACUGGGAAGCUCAGAGUAUCGGAGAGGAAAGCGGAAUUCCUAGCGUAGCGGUGAAAUGCGUAGAUAUUAGGAGGAACACCAGUGGCGAAAGCGGCUUUCUGGACGAAAACUGACGCUGAGGCGCGAAAGCCAGGGGAGCGAACGGGAUUAGAUACCCCGGUAGUCCUGGCCGUAAACGAUGGGUACUUGGUGUAGGAGGUAUCGACCCCUUCUGUGCCGGAGUUAACGCAAUAAGUACCCCGCCUGGGGAGUACGGCCGCAAGGUUG